Molecule: long non-coding RNA, 2289 nt
Filed under: Bactrocera tryoni
Lineage: Eukaryota; Metazoa; Arthropoda; Insecta; Diptera; Tephritidae
Description: uncharacterized LOC120768319
Source: RNAcentral
AGUUGACUACACAUUUAUACAUAUAACCAUGGCAAUCAUUUGCGUAGUGAUUAAAAAAUAAAAUCUGGCAUCACAGCUCAAUAGAACAGCUGUGUUUUCAUUCAUCUCUAAAAAAACAAAAAAAUAGCAAUUUGUUUAACAUAGACAAUGGAAAGGUAACUUAAAAGAAGUGACCCAAAUGAUUUAGAUAUUGACGAAGUUAGCAGUGACUCCGAAGAAAGCACGUGCCGGCCCAGCACCAGUAAAAAAAAAUAUACCCAAAGACCCAGAAAAAGCUGGUUUAAUGAUCCGAGACUAUGCAAGUGGAUUGUCGACCUAAAUGAUCAGGAGGUAAAGUGUAAAUACUGCCAUUGUACUUUAAAACCAAAACAAAGUACACUUCUUACUCAUGGAAAAACUUCUAAGCAUUUAGCAACAGCAUCGCCUUUCACAAAAAACAAUCAAAAAACACUCGAUUUUCACCAACUAAACAGCAAUUCCAAAGUAAAAGCAGCAGAAUUAUUAGAAGCUUUAUAUGUAAUGGUACACACCACGAUAAGGUCAGCCGAUCAUUUAGUCCGUUUACAAAAAUAUAUAUUUAUUGAUAGCAAGGUCGCCGUUGGCAUGACAUUGGGUCGAACAAAGUUUACUGCCCUCAUUAAGUCAAUUUUGGCUCCCCAUUUUCAACACCUAUUGGCUGAAGAUAUUAGUGACAACUUAACUUACAGACAUAACUAUUGAUAAGUAUUUGGGUAUAGUAAUACGUUAUUACAGUAAGUCUGCCAAACAAAUUGUAAACACAUUUUUAAACUUAAGUGCACUUGAUGACGCGUCAGCCAAUGGAAUAUUUAAAGUUAUUAAGGAUUUUAAUCUAAAAAUUCAAAACAUGGUGGGCUUAGGAACUGAUAAUGCCAGAGUAAUGACUGGAGUUAGCCGUGGAGUGAUAGCAAAACUACGUGAAAAAUAUAAAAACAUAAUACCAGUUCCCUGUAUCUGUCAUUCCAUUCAGCUUUCAGUGUCUUCAGCAUCCAAAAUGCUACCUGAUGAAAUUGAGUAUUUGGUGUCAGAAACUUACAAAUGGUUUUCCAAAUCAACUUUAAGACACAAACAUUAUAAACGCAUUUACGCUGCGAUUAAUGAUGGCAUGCAACCAUUAAAAUUGGUAAGAGCUUGUGACACUAGAUGGUUGUCAAUUGAAUCAGCUGUAAAUCGUAUAGAAAGUCAAUGGCUAGAGUUGAAAACUCAUUUUGAAAUUGCCGAAACGGUAGAAUUGUGUCAUCAAGCCAAUAUAUUAAAAAAAUUGUAUACUGACAAAAAUUUAUUAUGUCUGAAGUUUUUGAAACCUUUGCUGUCAGAUGUACAAAAAGUAAAUAAAAUGUUUGAAAGUAAUAAUGCUGACCCUACUCUGUUGCUAUCAGAACUAUAUGUUCUUUUGAAAGACCUUUCCUAUCAAAUUGUUUUAAAAUCUGACAUUUUUGAUCCGUUCAAUUCGCGUUCAGAAGAUUUUUUUGUUCCAACACCAUACUUUAAUUACAACUUUGAAGAAUUUUUAAAAUCAAAGAAAGAUGUAAUCAAUUCUGAAGAAGAAAAUUAAAUAACGUUUACUUGCCGAAAGUUUAUAGCUCAGCUAAUAUAUCAGCUUAGACAACGAUUGCCAGAAAGAAACAAAACAAAGAAAACAGUUUAAAAACGGAAAAAAUUAAAUUGCAUGAACAUUUUGAACAACAAAUGGAAGAUUUCACAGUGGACGAAAUUACUAUUUUAGAAAAGCAAUGGCAAAAGCUAAGUACAUAUGAAUGGGCAAACAAAAACUCAACAAUUGAUUUCUGGAUAAGUGUAUACGAAUAUAAAAAUGCUUUAAAUGAAAACCCGUUCCAGGAAUUGUGUUCUUUUGUUAUGAAGUUUCUUGUUUUACCAUUUAGUAACGCAGAAGUUGAAAGAGUUUUCAGCGGCAUGAACCUUAUAAAAACAAAAAUUAGACAUAGAAUGAUAUUGAACACUAUGAAUUCACUUCUUUACAUUAGAUACGGAUUGAAAAGGUUAAAUAAAUGUUGCGAAAGUUUUAAAAUUACCAACGAUCUCAUACAAAAAUGUGAUAAAAACAUGUAUGAUAAUGAUAUUUCGACCGACUCUUCGGAAGUUGAGGAACAAUAUUCAUUGGAUAAUGUAUUUAGUUUAUAAUUAAAAUGUAUCAUUUGUAAACAAAUGAUAUUUAAAAAUGUACUAAAAUGCUAUUAAAUAGCGAUUUAAAUGUUUAUGUUAUUUUUUUAUAUAAAUAUACAUAUACAUAUGUAUGUAUGUACAAACCAA